GACGAACGCUGGCGGCGUGCCUAAUACAUGCAAGUUGAGCGCUGAAGGUUGGUACUUGUACCGACUGGAUGAGCAGCGAACGGGUGAGUAACGCGUGGGGAAUCUGCCUUUGAGCGGGGGACAACAUUUGGAAACGAAUGCUAAUACCGCAUAAAAACUUUAAACACAAGUUUUAAGUUUGAAAGAUGCAAUUGCAUCACUCAAAGAUGAUCCCGCGUUGUAUUAGCUAGUUGGUGAGGUAAAGGCUCACCAAGGCGAUGAUACAUAGCCGACCUGAGAGGGUGAUCGGCCAAAUUGGGACUGAGACACGGCCCAAACUCCUACGGGAGGCAGCAGGAGGGAAUCUUCGGCAAUGGACGAAAGUCUGACCGAGCAAAGCCGCGUGAGUGAAGAAGGUUUUCGGAUCGUAAAAAUCGGUUGGUAGAGAAGAACGUUGGUGAGAGUGGAAAGCUCAUCAAGUGACGGUAACUACCCAGAAAGGGACGGCUAACUACGUG
Molecule: ribosomal RNA, 497 nt
Filed under: uncultured bacterium
Lineage: Bacteria
Description: partial 16S ribosomal RNA
Rfam family: Bacterial small subunit ribosomal RNA
Source: RNAcentral